UACAGAGGAUGCAAGCGUUAUCCGGAAUGAUUGGGCGUAAAGCGUCUGUAGGUGGCUUUUUAAGUCCGCCGUCAAAUCCCAGGGCUCAACCCUGGACAGGCGGUGGAAACUACCAAGCUGGAGUACGGUAGGGGCAGAGGGAAUUUCCGGUGGAGCGGUGAAAUGCGUAGAGAUGUGGAGGAACACCGAUGGCGAAGGCAGCCCCCUGGGAUAACACUGACGCUCACGCACGAAAGCGUGGGGAGCAAACAGG
RNAcentral lists this ribosomal RNA (253 nucleotides) under uncultured bacterium. Its description in RNAcentral is "partial 16S ribosomal RNA". It matches the Rfam family "Bacterial small subunit ribosomal RNA", at positions 524 to 776 of the family's 1533-position model. The record is from RNAcentral.